RNAcentral lists this ribosomal RNA (253 nucleotides) under uncultured bacterium. RNAcentral describes it as "partial 16S ribosomal RNA". It matches the Rfam family "Bacterial small subunit ribosomal RNA", at positions 524 to 776 of the family's 1533-position model. The record is from RNAcentral.
UACGGAGGGUGCAAGCGUUAUCCGGAUUCACUGGGUUUAAAGGGUGCGUAGGUGGGCAGGUAAGUCAGUGGUGAAAUCUCCGGGCUUAACCCGGAAACUGCCAUUGAUACUAUCUGUCUUGAAUACCGUGGAGGUAAGCGGAAUAUGUCAUGUAGCGGUGAAAUGCUUAGAUAUGACAUAGAACACCAAUUGCGAAGGCAGCUUACUACCCGAAUAUUGACACUGAGGCACGAAAGCGUGGGGAUCAAACAGG